Molecule: ribosomal RNA, 440 nt
Filed under: uncultured bacterium
Lineage: Bacteria
Description: bacterial SSU rRNA
Rfam family: Bacterial small subunit ribosomal RNA
Source: RNAcentral
CCUACGGGAGGCUGCAGUGGGGAAUAUUGGACAAUGGGGGGAACCCUGAUCCAGCGACGCCGCGUGAGUGAAGAAGUAUUUCGGUAUGUAAAGCUCUAUCAGCAGGGAAGAAAAUGACGGUACCUGACUAAGAAGCCCCGGCUAACUACGUGCCAGCAGCCGCGGUAAUACGUAGGGGGCAAGCGUUAUCCGGAUUUACUGGGUGUAAAGGGAGCGCAGACGGCUUGGCAAGUCUGAAGUGAAAGCCCGGGGCUUAACCCCGGGACUGCUUUGGAAACUGUGAAGCUAGAGUGUCGGAGAGGUAAGUGGAAUUCCCAGUGUAGCGGUGAAAUGCGUAGAUAUUGGGAGGAACACCGGUGGCGAAGGCGGCUUACUGGACGAUAACUGACGUUGAGGCUCGAAGGCGUGGGGAGCAAACAGGAUUAGAUACCCUUGUAGUC